Molecule: unclassified non-coding RNA, 156 nt
Organism: Chrysemys picta bellii (western painted turtle)
Lineage: Eukaryota; Metazoa; Chordata; Testudines; Emydidae
Source: Ensembl
UUGACAACCCUGGAGACUGAUGUCCUAAUUAUCCUCAGAACAGGAGCACAUGGGCAUUUUCCUGCCAGUGUGACUCAGCCUAGAGGUGGAGAGCCCAGUUCUCAGAUUGGAUGGCAGUUCAGUAUCUUCAUAAGCUGCAGUCGUUCUACUGAGACA